AACGUAGGACGCGAGCGUUAUCCGGAGUUACUGGGCGUAAAGGGCGGGCAGGCGGCCUGGCAAGAUGGGUGUGAAAUCUCCCGGCUCAACCGGGAGGGGCCACUCGUGACUGCGAGGCUGGAGGGUGACAGAGGCGCGUGGAAUUCCGGGUGGAGUGGUGAAAUGCGUAGAGAUCCGGAGGAACACCAGAGGCGAAGGCGGCGCGCUGGGUCACAACUGACGCUGAACCGCGAAAGCCAGGGCAGCGAACGGG
This 253-nucleotide ribosomal RNA is filed under the name uncultured bacterium. RNAcentral describes it as "partial 16S ribosomal RNA". It matches the Rfam family "Bacterial small subunit ribosomal RNA", at positions 524 to 776 of the family's 1533-position model. The record is from RNAcentral.